UUGCUCGCUUCAGCAGCACAUAUACUAAAAUUGGAAUGAAAAGAGAAGGUUAGCAUGGCCCCUGCACAAGGAAGACCUGCAAAUUUUUGAAGUGGUCCAUAUUUGG
This 106-nucleotide small nuclear RNA is filed under the name Dasypus novemcinctus (nine-banded armadillo). The record is from RNAcentral. Lineage: Eukaryota; Metazoa; Chordata; Mammalia; Cingulata; Dasypodidae.